Molecule: long non-coding RNA, 399 nt
Organism: Brassica oleracea var. oleracea
Lineage: Eukaryota; Viridiplantae; Streptophyta; Magnoliopsida; Brassicales; Brassicaceae
Exons: 2
Source: RefSeq, a predicted model, not a curated record
CGAUGAUGUUGCCAGAUGCUUUCUGUACGAUAAUGUUAUCCACAGAUUUUAAGUGAUCUCUGUGGGGACCAGUCUUCUCCUGUCCAAAUAUCACCUUCUCCACUCCUUCACGAGUACAUAUAUUAAUAUACGCUCACAUUCUCUCACAAAGUAUCCAGUUCGGUACAAUCGAUCUUCCUCACUCCCUGUUUGUCCAAAAAUGGCGCUUCAAGCUGCUUCUUUGGUCUCCUCGGCUUUCUCUGUCCGUAAAGAUGGAACACUGAAUGCUUCAUCAUCAUCCUUCAAGGACUCGGGUCUCUUUGGUGCCUCCAUUACUGACCGAGUCAAAUCCGAACAAAGCUCUUCCUCAUAAGGUUCAAGGGCUACAUAAGAAUAUAACAUGGGAAAUUCCUAUUGGAA